Myotis myotis is the source of this 1579-nucleotide long non-coding RNA. RefSeq lists it as uncharacterized. The record is from RefSeq and is a predicted model, not a curated record. NCBI's taxonomy places the organism in Eukaryota, Metazoa, Chordata, Mammalia, Chiroptera, Vespertilionidae. The transcript is spliced from 3 exons.
UCCAGUUACCACUGAGUUGGUCACCCAUGAUUUUGCCACCUUACCACACAUAUUGUUUUUAUCUUAUUUGUUCCCUCUUCCAGACUCCACACAUAGUUUUUCCAGAAUCUUAAUCCCACCGUGGAUUGAAUCUGGUGUUCUAAAUAUUCACGGUUGAAUCAUGAAAACUCCAUAUGGACCCAUGUUGUACUCCUACUUGUCACUUCCAAUAGAGUCUCCUGUCUCCAGGAUGAGGAAUGUCUUGCAUUAAAAUCUUCAGGCCAACCACAAGCCCAAGAAAGUCACUCCCAAAUAAGUCCUGUAAACAAGUGGUGGCAACAGAAAUUGACCAUGUAGCUCAGAGAAGCCCAGCCAUGACACAGCUUAUUCUCUAGUCGCUUAAAUCCUGCCUGCCCCUAGAAUGUUCCGUCUGCUUUGGGACUGCCAUGGAGGGGAAAGUUCAGGCUGUGUUGGUCAGCAACCAAAUACCUGAACGGUGGUUUGUUUUACAUCUAACUUGCUGUAAUAUGACAGUGCCACACGCAGGUUAAAUAAUACCACUGAUGGGAUUGCCACUGUAGGUAACCUUGAAGCUUACCAGUGAUGACGCUGGAAGCUGUGUUUGAAGUAGUUCAGAAACUGGCCUUUGGGUCUGACAUCUUGGAUCCCAGCUCCACUCCCUACCAUAUGUAUGACUUCGGGCUAAUCGCUUAAUCUUGUUGCCUCUUUCCUCUCUAUUUUCAUUAUUGGCCAUAAUUAUUUUUCUUACUCUAAUUGUCUUGUGUUCUGGUGCUUUUCACAUUGGAUUUAGUGGCCAGCUUCUUAGUACUGAGGCAACAAUUGCCUCCCAAAUCACUUUUCUCCAACUUAAACACAUGUUCUGCCCACCUGGCUACUUGAUCUUCUCCACCCCUCUCCCCUAAACAGUUAAUAAUUCUGCAACAGAAUAUGAAUUCUCUGAUUUUACUGGAAUUCCAAAUAUUAUCAUUGUAUCCACAUUCAACCCAAGUAGAUGCCCUUAUAGUAGCUCAUGUAUUAAUUGCCCAGUGAACCAAAUCACAGUCAAUUUCUGUUGUUGUCAUAUACUUGCUGGUAGGUGGAGAAUGAAUUUUCUUGCCCAGCCACAUUGAUAAUAGAGUGUCUGAUGGACUUGUACAUUACUGCUUUUCAAAAUUGCAUCCCCUCCACCUCCAAAGGAAACUUUUCCAACUUUUAUUCUCCCAUAACAAGCAUAUGGGAGACAGGAAAUGGAGAACUGAGGAGCCAGACAUUAGAUAACUCGCCUGUAAUCACACUGUUCACAGCAAGAGGGGCCUGGGCUUGAUCUCCUGCACCCGGAUGAGGGCUCUUCCUGCCAUUUUUAACCCAUAUCUAGCUGAUUGCAUCUGCGCAUGCACUCGAGUGAAAGGAGAAAACAAACGAUCCAAAACGGAUACAUCGUGUAGGCUGCACUGCUGCUUUUAUUUAUGAUGACAGGUGUCUCUGGCAAGGUCAUGUUCACUUUUCUAUGUAUUUAAACUUGGCCAUUUGUUUUUCUGUAUCGCCCCUCUAAGGAUCAGGAUAGGAAGAGUGUGAGCUCCUCGAGGGCAGGAACCCUGUU